This 87-nucleotide transfer RNA is filed under the name bacterium. RNAcentral describes it as "tRNA-Ser". It matches the Rfam family "tRNA". Rfam says of the family: Transfer RNA (tRNA) molecules are approximately 80 nucleotides in length. The record is from RNAcentral.
GGAGGCGUGUCCGAGUGGUUGAAGGAGAUGGUCUUGAAAACCAUUGGGCUCGUUCGGGUCCCGGGGGUUCGAAUCCCUCCGCCUCCG